Long non-coding RNA from Physeter macrocephalus (sperm whale), 404 nucleotides. RefSeq lists it as uncharacterized. The record is from RefSeq and is a predicted model, not a curated record. NCBI's taxonomy places the organism in Eukaryota, Metazoa, Chordata, Mammalia, Artiodactyla, Physeteridae. The transcript has 3 exons.
GGGGCUUUGAACCCACUGCAGGAGUCCAGCCGGGCUGGGGGAGCGGGGUGAUGGCGCUCCCUCUGCAAUGCAAGCGCCAGACUUGGGGUUUCUCCCACCAGCCCCAGCCUCAAAACACACCUCCCUGGAAUGGAGAGCAAGCAAGGCAUCUGUACUUGGGCAGAGAGACAGAGGCCCAAGUAUGUCUUGGGAAGAGGAGACAAGACAUACAACCAGAAAGGGGCUUGGUGACAUCAGGGCACAGCAGCAUCACAGGAAUGUGGAAAGAGGACCAGCAAAGAGACAGAGAAGACAUCCCCACUGGGGGACAGCCAAGCCAGCUGAGCAGGAUGAGGCAAGAGGCAUAGCCAGAGCACGGCAUGCGGGACCUUAGUUCCCCAACCAGGGAUCACACCCGUGCCCCC